AUAAUCUCUAGCAUUUUUCAC
Molecule: small nuclear RNA, 21 nt
Filed under: Arabidopsis thaliana (thale cress)
Lineage: Eukaryota; Viridiplantae; Streptophyta; Magnoliopsida; Brassicales; Brassicaceae
Description: snRNA_02926
Source: RNAcentral